AUGUAGAGUUUCGGUGUUUUCUCGGACUUGACAGAACUGACUGUGACGGUUUGAUGUCCAGUUGUGCAGAAUCCUGGCAGUUCAGCUCUCCGUGUUCCAGCAACCCGGGCCAUCUGAGGUUUUCUUACCCCGGAGCUGUCAACAAAUUUAUUUUGUGUGACCUUCAGGGCAAGGCUUAUGUCGCUCAUUGUCCACCAGGGGAGAUAUUUUCAGAAAUGUGUAGUUCCUGCCAUGACAGCAGUUACACACCCACCAAUUGUUAAACUUAAUCCUGAUGGUUAAGACACUUUUAAAUACAGACGUGAUGUCAAUAUGUUGUCAAUAAUCUACAAAACUUUUAUUCAUCUGGUAAAGUGUUCAUGGGUGCAUUAAAAGAUCUGUACCAUAAUAAAGUGGUUUUAAAACAACCAAAUGAAGAAGUUAAUAAAAGCUGAAAACGUGGUUUACAUUUACAUGUAAAAGAGUUUAUUUGAGAGGUUUCCAAGUUUGAAUCUUAAACAUAUGCCAAAAUAAAAAAUGUACCUCUUGAAA
Mya arenaria is the source of this 531-nucleotide long non-coding RNA. RefSeq lists it as uncharacterized. The transcript is spliced from 3 exons. NCBI's taxonomy places the organism in Eukaryota, Metazoa, Mollusca, Bivalvia, Myida, Myidae. The record is from RefSeq and is a predicted model, not a curated record.